GAUGAACGCUGGCGGCGUGCCUAAUACAUGCAAGUCGAGCGAACGUACGAGAACCUUGCUUCUCUGAUGUUAGCGACGAACAGGUGAGUAACAAGUGGAUAACCUACCUAUAAGACUCGGAUAACUUAGGGAAACCUAAGCUAAUAAAGGAUGAUAUUGUAAACCGCAUGCUUAAAAACUGAAAGACGAUCUUGCUGUCACUGAUUGAUCGAUCCGCGCUGCAUUAGCUAGUUGGUAAGGUAACGGCUUACCAAGGCAACGAUGCAUAGCCGACUUGAGAGGUUGAUCGGCCACACUGGAACUGAGACACGGUCCAGACUCCUACGGGAGGCAGCAGUAGGGAAUCUUCCACAAUGGGCGAAAGCCUGAUGGAGCAACGCCGCGUGAGUGAUGAAGGUCUUCGGAUCGUAAAACUCUGUUAUUAGGGAAGAAAAUAUGUGUAAGUAACUGUUCACAUCUUGACGGUACCUAAUCAGAAAGCCACGGCUAACUACGUG
This 497-nucleotide ribosomal RNA is filed under the name uncultured bacterium. RNAcentral describes it as "partial 16S ribosomal RNA". It matches the Rfam family "Bacterial small subunit ribosomal RNA", at positions 28 to 507 of the family's 1533-position model. The record is from RNAcentral.